RNAcentral lists this ribosomal RNA (254 nucleotides) under uncultured bacterium. RNAcentral describes it as "partial 16S ribosomal RNA". It matches the Rfam family "Bacterial small subunit ribosomal RNA", at positions 524 to 776 of the family's 1533-position model. RNAcentral also lists the same sequence under 2 other names. The record is from RNAcentral.
CACGUAGGGACCAAGCGUUGUCCGGAUUCAUUGGGCGUAAAGAGCUCGUAGGCGGUUCGAUAAGUCGGGUGUGAAACCUCCAGGCUCAACCUGGAGACGCCACCCGAUACUGUCGUGACUAGAGUCCAGUAGGGGAGCGUGGAAUUCCUGGUGUAGCGGUGAAAUGCGCAGAUAUCAGGAGGAACACCAGCGGCGAAGGCGGCGCUCUGGGCUGGAACUGACGCUGAGGAGCGAAAGCGUGGGGAGCGAACAGG